Molecule: ribosomal RNA, 497 nt
Filed under: uncultured bacterium
Lineage: Bacteria
Description: partial 16S ribosomal RNA
Rfam family: Bacterial small subunit ribosomal RNA
Source: RNAcentral
GAUGAACGCUGGCGGCGUGCCUAAUACAUGCAAGUCGAGCGAACAGACGAGGAGCUUGCUCCUCUGACGUUAGCGGCGGACGGGUGAGUAACACGUGGAUAACCUACCUAUAAGACUGGGAUAACUUCGGGAAACCGGAGCUAAUACCGGAUAAUCUAUUGAACCGCAUGGUUCAAUAGUGAAAGACGGUUUUGCUGUCACUUAUAGAUGGAUCCGCGCCGCAUUAGCUAGUUGGUAAGGUAACGGCUUACCAAGGCAACGAUGCGUAGCCGACCUGGGAGGGUGAUCGGCCACACUGGAACUGAGACACGGUCCAGACUCCGACGGGAGGCAGCAGUAGGGAAUCUUCCGCAAUGGGCGAAAGCUUGACGGAGCAACGCCGCGUGAGUGAUGAAGGUCUUCGGAUCGUAAAACUCUGUUAUUAGGGAAGAACAAAUGUGUAAGUAACUAUGCACGUCUUGACGGUACCUAAUCAGAAAGCCACGGCUAACUACGUG